RNAcentral lists this ribosomal RNA (253 nucleotides) under uncultured bacterium. RNAcentral describes it as "partial 16S ribosomal RNA". It matches the Rfam family "Bacterial small subunit ribosomal RNA", at positions 524 to 776 of the family's 1533-position model. The record is from RNAcentral.
UACGUAGGGGGCAAGCGUUGUCCGGAUUUAUUGGGCGUAAAGGGUGCGUAGGUGGCGGGGUUAGUCAGGUGUGAAAUCUCGGAGCUCAACUCCGAAACUGCACUUGAUACUGCCUUGCUAGAGUACUGGAGAGGAGAUUGGAAUUUACGGUGUAGCAGUGAAAUGCGUAGAUAUCGUAAGGAAGACCAGUGGCGAAGGCGAAUCUCUGGACAGUUACUGACACUGAGGCACGAAGGCCAGGGGAGCAAACGGG